Molecule: ribosomal RNA, 961 nt
Filed under: Fejervarya moodiei
Lineage: Eukaryota; Metazoa; Chordata; Amphibia; Anura; Dicroglossidae
Description: partial large subunit ribosomal RNA
Rfam family: Bacterial large subunit ribosomal RNA
Source: RNAcentral
UUAUUUGAGACAGGACACAACCUAAAAUAUAGGGUAAGCAACAACAUUACCUUUUAAGUGGGCCUGAAAGCAGCCACCUUUUAAAAAGCGUUAAAGCUUAAUUUCUCAUCAAUCCCCCAAAUACCUCCCCCUACAACGAACCCUUUACCUGUACUGAAUGACCCUAUAUUUUUAUAGGAGACAUAAUGCUAAAACUAGUAACAAGAAGUAGACCUUCUCCACAAUGUAAGCGCAAGCCAAAUCGGACCAACCACUGGUUACUAACGUAUAUGAGUUUCUUAUAGUAACGCCCUCAAGAAAAAUCUAUUUACCCAUAACGUUGACCUAACACAAGCACAUUACUGGAAAGAUUAAAAGAAAAAGAAGGAACUCGGCAAAUGUAGGCCCCGCCUGUUUACCAAAAACAUCGCCUCCUGAUUACCCAUAUGAGGUCCAGCCUGCCCAGUGACAUGAUUAAACGGCCGCGGUACUCUGACCGUGCGAAGGUAGCAUAAUCACUUGUUCUCUAAAUAAGGACUAGAAUGAACGACAUCACGAGGGCCUUACUGUCUCCUUUUUCCAAUCAGUGAAACUGAUCUCCCCGUGAAGAAGCGGGGAUCUUACUAUAAGACGAGAAGACCCCAUGGAGCUUUAAACCCAACAGGCAAUCCUAACCUCCUUCCCCCCCAAAGUUUUUAAAUAGUGUCUGCUGGUUUUAGGCUGGGGUGACCGCGGAGUAAAAAUUAUCCUCCAUGACGUAUGGGACUUCCCCCCAAUCCACGAGCUACUGCUCUAAGAAUCAUCAAAUUGACGACAAAUGAUCCAAUCUAUUGAUCAACGAACCAAGUUACCCUGGGGAUAACAGCGCAAUCCAUUUCAAGAGCUCCUAUCGACAAAUGGGUUUACGACCUCGAUGUUGGAUCAGGGUACCCAAGUGGUGCAGCCGCUACUAAUGGUUUGUUUGUUCAACAAUUAAAACCCU